AACAAAAACAUCUUUUUUUGAAUUUAAUAAAAAGUAUAACCUGCCCAAUGAAUUUUUAAUGGCCGCAGUAUUUUGACUGUGCAAAGGUAGCAUAAUCAUUAGUUUUUUAAUUGAAAGCUGGAAUGAAUGGUUGGACGAAAUAUUAACUGUUUCAUUUUAAAUUAUUAUAAAAUUUUAUUUUUUAGUAAAAAAGCUAAAAUUUUAUUAAAAGACGAGAAGACCCUAUAAAUCUUUAUAUUUAGUUAAUAAAUUUAUGUAAGAAGUUAAAUUAAUUUUAUUAAUUAUAAUAUUUUAUUGGGGUGAUAUUAAAAUUUAUAAAACUUUUAAUUUAAUAAACAUUAAUUUAUGAAUUAAUGAUUUUAUACUAUAAAUUAUAAGAAUAAGUUACUUUAGGGAUAACAGCGUAAUUUUUUUGGAGAGUUCAUAUUGAUAAAAAAGAUUGCGACCUCGAUGUUGGAUUAAGAGAUAAUUUUAGGUGCAGAAGUCUAAAAAUUAAGUCUGUUCGACUUUUAAAUUCUUACAG
Molecule: ribosomal RNA, 523 nt
Filed under: Ortholfersia minuta
Lineage: Eukaryota; Metazoa; Arthropoda; Insecta; Diptera; Hippoboscidae
Description: partial 16S ribosomal RNA
Rfam family: Bacterial large subunit ribosomal RNA (bases 395-523)
Source: RNAcentral